Molecule: ribosomal RNA, 440 nt
Filed under: uncultured bacterium
Lineage: Bacteria
Description: partial 16S ribosomal RNA
Rfam family: Bacterial small subunit ribosomal RNA
Source: RNAcentral
CCUACGAGUAGCUGCAGUGGGGAAUAUUGCACAAUGGGGGAAACCCUGAUGCAGCGACGCCGCGUGAGCGAUGUAGUAUUUCGGUAUGUAAAGCUCUAUCAGCCGGGAAGAAAAUGCCGGUACCUUACUCAGACGCCCCGGCUAACUACGUGCCAGCAGCCGCGGUAAUACGUAGGGGGCAAGCGUUAUCCGGAUUUACUGGGUGUAAAGGGAGCGGAGACGGCUUGGCAAGCCAGAUGUGAAAGGCUGGGGCUCAACCCCAGGACUGCCUUUGGAACUGUCAUGCUAGAGUGUCGGUGAGGCAGGCGGAAUUCCUAGUGUAGCGGUGAAAUGCGUAGAUAUUAGGAGGAACACCAGUGGCGAAGGCGGCCUGCUGGACGAUGACUGACGUUGAGGCUCGAAAGCGUGGGGAGCAAACAGGAUUAGAUACCCUAGUAGUC